This 407-nucleotide ribosomal RNA is filed under the name uncultured prokaryote. RNAcentral describes it as "bacterial SSU rRNA". It matches the Rfam family "Bacterial small subunit ribosomal RNA", at positions 355 to 776 of the family's 1533-position model. The record is from RNAcentral. RNAcentral also lists the same sequence under 1 other name.
UGGGGAAUAUUGGGCAAUGGGGGAAACCCUGACCCAGCAACGCCGCGUGAAGGAAGAAGGCUUUCGGGUUGUAAACUUCUUUGACGAGGGAAGAAAAAAAUGACGGUACCUCGAAAACAAGCCACGGCUAACUACGUGCCAGCAGCCGCGGUAAUACGUAGGUGGCAAGCGUUGUCCGGAUUUACUGGGUGUAAAGGGCGUGUAGGCGGGAGGCCAAGUCAGAUGUGAAAUGCCAGGGCUUAACCCUGGAGCUGCAUUUGAAACUGGUUUUCUUGAGUGAUGGAGAGGCAGGCGGAAUUCCUAGUGUAGCGGUGAAAUGCGUAGAUAUUAGGAGGAACACCAGUGGCGAAGGCGGCCUGCUGGACAUUAACUGACGCUGAGGCGCGAAAGCGUGGGGAGCAAACAGG